Molecule: ribosomal RNA, 253 nt
Filed under: uncultured bacterium
Lineage: Bacteria
Description: partial 16S ribosomal RNA
Rfam family: Bacterial small subunit ribosomal RNA
Source: RNAcentral
UACAGAGGUCCCAAGCGUUGUUCGGAUUCACUGGGCGUAAAGGGUGCGCAGGUGGUCGGGUAAGUCUGACGUGAAAUCCCGCAGCUUAACUGCGGAAUGGCAUUGGAUACUAUUCGGCUAGAGGGUUGGAGGGGGGACUGGAAUUCUCGGUGUAGCAGUGAAAUGCGUAGAUAUGUGGAGGAAUACCGAUGGCGAAGGCAGCCCCCUGGGCUAAGAUUGACGCUCAUGCACGAAAGCGUGGGGAGCAAACAGG